AGUGAACGCUGGCGGUAGGCCUAACACAUGCAAGUCGAACGGCAGCACAGUAUGAGCUUGCUCUUACGGGUGGCGAGUGGCGUACGGGUGAGGAAUACAUCGGAAUCUACUUUUUCGUGGGGGAUAACGUAGGGAAACUUACGCUAAUACCGCAUACGACCUACGGGUGAAAGCAGGGGAUCUUCGGACCUUGCGCGAUUGAAUGAGCCGAUGUCGGAUUAGCUAGUUGGGGGGGUAAAGGCCCACCAAGGCGACGAUCCGUAGCUGGUCUGAGAGGAUGUUAAGCCACACUGGAACUGGGACACGGACGAGACUCCUGCGGGAGGCAGCAGUGGGAGAUUUUGGACAAUGGGCGCAAGCCUGAUCCAGCCAUACCGCGUGGGUGACGAAGGCAUUGAGGUUGUAAAGCCCUUAUGUUGGGAGAGAAGAACAACAAGUUAAUACCGCAAUGUACUGACGGUACCCUAAGAAUAAGCACCGGCUAACUUCGUG
Molecule: ribosomal RNA, 492 nt
Filed under: uncultured bacterium
Lineage: Bacteria
Description: partial 16S ribosomal RNA
Rfam family: Bacterial small subunit ribosomal RNA
Source: RNAcentral